UACGGAGGAUGCAAGCGUUAUCCGGAUUUAUUGGGUUUAAAGGGUGCGCAGGUUGUUUGAUAAGUCAGUGGUGAAAGUCUGUCGCUUAACGGUAGGAUUGCCAUUGAUACUGUUGGACUUGAAUAUGGAUGAGGUAGGCGGAAUGUGUAGUGUAGCGGUGAAAUGCAUAGAUAUUACACAGAACACCGAUUGCGUAGGCAGCUUACUGAGCCGACACUGACGCUGAGGCACGAAAGCGUGGGGAUCGAACAGGA
Molecule: ribosomal RNA, 254 nt
Filed under: uncultured prokaryote
Description: partial 16S ribosomal RNA
Rfam family: Bacterial small subunit ribosomal RNA
Source: RNAcentral